This 113-nucleotide non-coding RNA is filed under the name Azospirillum brasilense. RNAcentral's name for it is "TPP sequence". It matches the Rfam family "TPP riboswitch aptamer (THI element)". Rfam says of the family: Vitamin B(1) in its active form thiamin pyrophosphate (TPP) is an essential coenzyme that is synthesised by coupling of pyrimidine and thiazole moieties in bacteria. The record is from RNAcentral. Lineage: Bacteria; Pseudomonadati; Pseudomonadota; Alphaproteobacteria; Rhodospirillales; Azospirillaceae. RNAcentral also lists the same sequence under 1 other name.
CGACGUUCCAAGGGGAGCCCCAUAGCACGGGGCUGAGAUGAUGCCGUAAGGCGCCGAACCCUUUGAACCUGAUCCGGGUCGUACCGGCGUAGGGACAGGAACAAACGGGCCAC